CAAGUCAGCUAAUUGGCCACCAUGUUAUCAGAAAGUCAGACUAAGAAGAGGGAAGCAAAAGUGCAGGUGGGUGAAAUAAUUGAAGAUACACAUUCAUCUUUGAGAUGAAUGACGAUUUUAACUUUGAACAAUAAAGGGGCCACAAGACAAACAGUGUAAGAAACCACUGGACAAGUCAGUCAAGGAAACAGUGUCCUUUAGAGAAAUAAUAGGAGCCCAACCCUACCAUCUUGCACCAUGGUUUUUAGAACACAACCUUUGCAAUGGAGACUAAGAUCAAGAAAGUAGGAUACAGUUCAUAUCCUCAAAGAUCAAGUGUCAGAUAGCAGCGUAUCAAAGAAUGCAGUCAGGAAACAGGUUAAGACAUGCCACACCACUUAAAGUACAGUACUCUAAAAUAUGAGAUCUUUUACAUGAGAGGUAGGAUACAAUGUUCUGAUACCCUCAAUCACAAAGAAAAUAGAA
Molecule: long non-coding RNA, 465 nt
Filed under: Pan troglodytes (chimpanzee)
Lineage: Eukaryota; Metazoa; Chordata; Mammalia; Primates; Hominidae
Description: long non-coding RNA NONPTRT012939
Source: RNAcentral